This 218-nucleotide long non-coding RNA is filed under the name Elaeis guineensis (African oil palm). RNAcentral's name for it is "long non-coding RNA (EGUI_LNC019527)". Lineage: Eukaryota; Viridiplantae; Streptophyta; Magnoliopsida; Arecales; Arecaceae. The record is from RNAcentral.
CCUCGUUCUCAUUCAUCUCAAACUCCACCACAAUCCCCUCCAUCGAGCUCCCGACCACUACCACAUGGGGUAGUGGACCAUGGCUGUGCCAUCUAUCGGAUCAUAGCUGCACGACAGCGAGAUCCAUAACUUCUGCUCCACCUCAACCCAUGAUAGCUUGUGCUAUUAGAGCAGUAGGGGAAGCAGCCGCAAAUGGUGGAGUUGGUGUGCACAACGGC